GACGAACGCUGGCGGCGUGCCUAAUACAUGCAAGUCGAACGCUUUUUCUUUCACCGGAGCUUGCUCCACCGAAAGAAAAAGAGUGGCGAACGGGUGAGUAACACGUGGGUAACCUGCCCAUCAGAAGGGGAUAACACUUGGAAACAGGUGCUAAUACCGUAUAACACUAUUUUCCGCAUGGAGGAAAGUUGAAAGGCGCUUUUGCGUCACUGAUGGAUGGACCCGCGGUGCAUUAGCUAGUUGGUGAGGUAACGGCUCACCAAGGCAACGAUGCAUAGCCGACCUGAGAGGGUGAUCGGCCACACUGGGACUGAGACACGGCCCAGACUCCUACGGGAGGCAGCAGUAGGGAAUCUUCGGCAAUGGACGAAAGUCUGACCGAGCAACGCCGCGUGAGUGAAGAAGGUUUUCGGAUCGUAAAACUCUGUUGUUAGAGAAGAACAAGGAUGAGAGUAAAACGUUCAUCCC
This 468-nucleotide ribosomal RNA is filed under the name Enterococcus casseliflavus. Its description in RNAcentral is "bacterial SSU rRNA". It matches the Rfam family "Bacterial small subunit ribosomal RNA", at positions 28 to 468 of the family's 1533-position model. The record is from RNAcentral. Lineage: Bacteria; Bacillati; Bacillota; Bacilli; Lactobacillales; Enterococcaceae.